RNAcentral lists this long non-coding RNA (511 nucleotides) under Setaria viridis. RNAcentral's name for it is "long non-coding RNA (SVIR_LNC006732)". The record is from RNAcentral. Lineage: Eukaryota; Viridiplantae; Streptophyta; Magnoliopsida; Poales; Poaceae.
GGGGCAGGUGUGGAAAUUGGGGGAGGAGCACUUUUAGCCCCUUUUAGAGCCUCUUUGGGGGCUAAAAUUUAGCUCCCAAAGUUUAGGGGGUGUUUGGAUAGCAGGGGCUAAACUUUAGCCCUAUCACAUCGGAUGUUCGGAUGCUAAUUAGGAGGACUAAAUAUGAGCUAAUUACAAAACUAAUAGCAGAACCCUUAGGCUAAAUCACGAGACGAAUCUAUUGAGCCUAAUUAAUCCAUCAUUAGCGAAUGGUUAUUGUAGCACCACAUUGUCAAAUUAUGGACUAAUUAGGCUUAAUAGAUUCAUCUUGUGAUUUAGCCUAGGGGUUGUGUAAUUAGUCUAGGUUUAAUACUCCUAAUUAGUGUCCAAACAUUCGAUGUGAUGGGGACUAAAAUUUAGUCUCCUUCUCCCAAACACCCCUUAGCUAUUUGUCACUUUUAACCCUCCUGUUUGGAUCCCAAGAGCUAAAUUUUGAGCUAAAAGUGCAAGACUCAAAUUUAGUCCAUGGAUC